RNAcentral lists this ribosomal RNA (477 nucleotides) under uncultured bacterium. RNAcentral describes it as "partial 16S ribosomal RNA". It matches the Rfam family "Bacterial small subunit ribosomal RNA", at positions 28 to 507 of the family's 1533-position model. The record is from RNAcentral.
GAUGAACGCUGGCGGCGUGCCUAAUACAUGCAAGUCGAGCGAACAGACGAGGAGCUUGCUCCUCUGACGUUAGCGGCGGACGGGUGAGUAACACGUGGAUAACCUACCUAUAAUACUGGGAUAACUUCGGGAAACCGGAGCUAAUACCGUAUAAUAUAUUGAACCGCAUGGUUCAAUAGUAAAAGACGGUUUUGCGGUCGGUUAUGGAUGGAUCCGCGCCGGAUUAGCUAGUUGGUGAGGUAGUGGCGUACCAAGGCAUCGAUGGGUAGCCGGCCUGAGAGGGGGAGCGGCCACAGGGGGACUGAGAGACGGCCCAGAGUCCGACGGGAGGCAGCAGUGGGGAAUAUUGCACAAUGGGAUGAAGCCUGAUGCAGCAACGCCGCGUGCGGGAUGACGGCCGUCGGGUUGUAAACCGCUUUCGCCUGUGACGAAGCGUGAGUGACGGUAAUGGGUAAAGAAGCACCGGCUAACUACGUG